AGCGAACGCUGGCGGCGGGCCUAAUACAUGCAAGUCGAGCGGUCCCUUCGGGGGCAGCGGCGGACGGGUGAGUAACGCGUGGGAACGUGCCCUUUGGUACGGAACAACUGAGGGAAACUUCAGCUAAUACCGUAUGUGCCCUUCGGGGGAAAGAUUUAUCGCCAUUGGAGCGGCCCGCGUUGGAUUAGGUAGUUGGUGAGGUAAAGGCUCACCAAGCCUACGAUCCAUAGCUGGUCUGAGAGGAUGAUCAGCCACACUGGGACUGAGACACGGCCCAGACUCCUACGGGAGGCAGCAGUAGGGAAUCUUGCGCAAUGGGCGAAAGCCUGACGCAGCCAUGCCGUGUGAAUGAUGAAGGUCUUAGGAUUGUAAAAUUCUUUCACCGGGGACGAUAAUGACGGUACCCGGAGAAGAAGCCCCGGCUAACUUCGUG
This 433-nucleotide ribosomal RNA is filed under the name uncultured bacterium. RNAcentral's name for it is "bacterial SSU rRNA". It matches the Rfam family "Bacterial small subunit ribosomal RNA", at positions 29 to 507 of the family's 1533-position model. The record is from RNAcentral.